RNAcentral lists this ribosomal RNA (465 nucleotides) under uncultured Klebsiella sp. RNAcentral's name for it is "bacterial SSU rRNA". It matches the Rfam family "Bacterial small subunit ribosomal RNA", at positions 338 to 795 of the family's 1533-position model. The record is from RNAcentral. Lineage: Bacteria; Pseudomonadati; Pseudomonadota; Gammaproteobacteria; Enterobacterales; Enterobacteriaceae.
CCUACGGGGGGCUGCAGUGGGGAAUAUUGCACGAUGGGCGCAAGCCUGAUGCAGCCAUGCCGCGUGUGUGAAGAAGGCCUUCGGGUUGUAAAGCACUUUCAGCGGGGAGGAAGGCGGUGAGGUUAAUAACCUCAUCGAUUGACGUUACCCGCAGAAGAAGCACCGGCUAACUCCGUGCCAGCAGCCGCGGUAAUACGGAGGGUGCAAGCGUUAAUCGGAAUUACUGGGCGUAAAGCGCACGCAGGCGGUCUGUCAAGUCGGAUGUGAAAUCCCCGGGCUCAACCUGGGAACUGCAUUCGAAACUGGCAGGCUAGAGUCUUGUAGAGGGGGGUAGAAUUCCAGGUGUAGCGAUGAAAUGCGUAGAGAUCUGGAGGAAUACCGGUGGCGAAGGCGGCCCCCUGGACAAAGACUGACGCUCAGGUGCGAAAGCGUGGGGAGCAAACAGGAUUAGAUACCCCGGUAGUC